ACGCUCGACACCUACGGGAGCAGCAGUGGGGAAUAUUGCACAAUGGGGGAAACCCUGAUGCAGCGACGCCGCGUGGAGGAAGAAGGUCUUCGGAUUGUAAACUCCUGUUGUUGGGGAAAAAGAGGAUGGUACCCAACAAGGAAGUGACGGCUAACUACGUGCCAGCAGCCGGGUAAUCUGAGCGGGCGUGGCGAAGGACG
RNAcentral lists this ribosomal RNA (200 nucleotides) under uncultured bacterium. RNAcentral describes it as "partial 16S ribosomal RNA". It matches the Rfam family "Bacterial small subunit ribosomal RNA", at positions 328 to 544 of the family's 1533-position model. The record is from RNAcentral.